GUCCACGCCGUAAACGAUGAGCACUAGGUGUCGGGGUCGCAAGACUUCGGUGCCGCAGUUAACGCAUUAAGUGCUCCGCCUGGGGAGUACGUUCGCAAGAAUGAAACUCAAAGGAAUUGACGGGGACCCGCACAAGCAGCGGAGCAUGUGGUUUUAAUUCGAAGCAACGCGAAGAACCUUACCAGGGCUUGACAUCCCUCUGACAGAUCCUUAAACGGAUUUUUCUUCGGACAGAGGAGACAGGUGGUGCAUGGUUGUCGU
This 261-nucleotide ribosomal RNA is filed under the name uncultured bacterium. Its description in RNAcentral is "partial 16S ribosomal RNA". It matches the Rfam family "Bacterial small subunit ribosomal RNA", at positions 793 to 1055 of the family's 1533-position model. The record is from RNAcentral.